CGGAGGUGCAAGCGUUAUCCGGAAUCAUUGGGUUUAAAGGGUCCGCAGGCGGACUUAUAAGUCAGUGGUGAAAGCCUACAGCUUAACUGUAGAACUGCCAUUGAUACUGUAAGUCUUGAAUUCGGUCGAAGUGGGCGGAAUAUGACAUGUAGCGGUGAAAUGCUUAGAUAUGUCAUAGAACACCGAUAGCGAAGGCAGCUCACUAGGCCUGGAUUGACGCUCAUGGACGAAAGCGUGGGGAGCAAACAGGAUUAGAUACCCUGGUAGUCCACGCCGUAAACUAUCAAUACUCGUUCUCGGCGAUAUACAGUCGGGGACUAAGCGAAAGUGAUAAGUAUUGCACCUGGGGAGUACGAUCGCAAGGUUG
RNAcentral lists this ribosomal RNA (367 nucleotides) under uncultured organism. RNAcentral's name for it is "bacterial SSU rRNA". It matches the Rfam family "Bacterial small subunit ribosomal RNA", at positions 527 to 896 of the family's 1533-position model. The record is from RNAcentral.